This 1474-nucleotide long non-coding RNA is filed under the name Fragaria vesca (wild strawberry). Its description in RNAcentral is "long non-coding RNA (FVES_LNC004747)". The record is from RNAcentral. Lineage: Eukaryota; Viridiplantae; Streptophyta; Magnoliopsida; Rosales; Rosaceae.
UGGAAGUGCUCUCCGUGUGUAGCAUUUCCCUAUAAGGUAAUGAUCCAAUUCGAAGUGUGUAGGAGGAUUUUACGGGCUUAGGGUUUGAAUUGGGUGAUUUUUGGAUGUUUUGAUUCGAUUACCCUAUUUAGGCUUGAAAUUGGACUUAGUGCUAGUUAUGAAAGUUGUAGAGUAGGUUGAGAGGAAGCUGCUGUUUAAAUUUGGUGAGCAUUGGAGGUCGCCGGAAACGGCCUCCGGCCGCCGCUGCCGGCGGAGCCGGCGCCGGCGCCGCCACUGUUUGGAAGAUUUUUAGGUUUUUAAAUGUGGAAUAUUAAGGGGAGUUUAUUGAAGUGAGUUUUGGAAUUUUUGGAUGAGUUUUGGAUAGGUUUAUGAUUUUCCGAAGUUUGGUAUUUUUGGCGGUUAAUUAAUGUAAAAUCCGGCCGUAGGAUUUAAGUCGUAUUCUGUGGGAAGUUGUUUUUACGGCUGCCGGUAUGUUCGGCGAAUUUUGUGCCGUAUUGAGUUAAGAAUGGCGAAUUUGGGCAAUGAUGAGUGUGUGGGAGGCUCACAUUUAAUUUUGCCUAUUUUGUUUAAAUAUUGGAUUUUAGUUGGGAAUUUAAUUAUAUAUUUGUGCCAGGGUUCGAGGAACCUCAUUGGAGUGGCGAUUUGGAUUUCGUCGGGCUUAUGCCUAGAGCAGUGAGUGGACUUUUAUUUGAAAUAAUAUGCAUGCUAUGGUUCAUGAUUGAACAUUUCCUUUUGUUGGAGUUUUGACGUCAAUUAAUUUUGACGCUUUUAUUUCUCUUAGAGAGUUACCGAAAAUGGGAUUUUCGGUGAAUAUAAAUAUGUAUUUAUGAGAGAGUAUGUAUAGAAAAUUCUAGCUAGCCAUAUGUGUCUGUCCACCUUAAUGGCGUAACAUAUAGCCGCAUUAUGGUGUGACGUGAGUGUUGGACGUAAGCGUAGUAGCCCUAUUUGAGUGUUUAAUUCAUAUAGGGGGUAUGGACACAUAUUUAUACACCCGUCUGUCCAUCUUAAUGGCGUAGUGUAGCACCGCAUUAAGGCGUGACGUGAGCGUUGGACGCGAGCGUAGUAGCCCUAUAUAGACCCAUGAAUUUAUAUAGGGAGUAUGGACGUGUGUAAAUACAUACAUAUAUUAUAGAGCCUGAGAGGCUCGACAUUUAUGAGAUAAAAGUUUUAUCGCUUGCAGCAUGCAUUCGAUUUUUCUUGGAAAUUGAUUUGGGGAAACAUAAAUAUUUUAUUCGUUAAUUUAUUUUUGUCCACUCACUCUAACGGUUUUCAAAUGUUUUCCCCUGGGCUCUUCGUUUUAAAAAUGCCCAGUUUGCAGGUUAGCAUAGUUGAGGUUGGGCGUACAUGGAGAAGAGACAUAGUCAAUAGUUUAGCUUCCGCUUAUUUCUAAAUUCCUAGUUCAUUUCCUCUCAAUUAGAAUUGCUCUGAACUGUGAUGGUUGGUUGUGAGAUUAUUCUUUUAAAGUUAGUAAAUA